Molecule: ribosomal RNA, 507 nt
Filed under: Thalassolituus oleivorans
Lineage: Bacteria; Pseudomonadati; Pseudomonadota; Gammaproteobacteria; Oceanospirillales; Oceanospirillaceae
Description: bacterial SSU rRNA
Rfam family: Bacterial small subunit ribosomal RNA
Source: RNAcentral
GGGGGACAACAGUUGGAAACGACUGCUAAUACCGCAUACGCCCUACGGGGGAAAGCAGGGGAUCUUCGGACCUUGCGCUAUUAGAUGAGCCUGCGUCGGAUUAGCUAGUUGGUGGGGUAAUGGCCUACCAAGGCAACGAUCCGUAGCUGGUUUGAGAGGAUGAUCAGCCACACUGGGAAUGAGACACGGCCCAGACUCCUACGGGAGGCAGCAGUGGGGAAUAUUGCACAAUGGGCGAAAGCCUGAUGCAGCCAUGCCGCGUGUGUGAAGAAGGCUCUAGGGUUGUAAAGCACUUUCAUUAGUGAGGAAAGGUUGUAAAUUAAUACGUUGCAACUGUGACGUUAGCUAUAUCAGAAGCGCCGGCUAACUCCAUGACAGCAGCCGCGGUAAUACGGAGGGUGCAAGCGUUAAUCGGAAUUACUGGGCGUAAAGCGCGCGUAGGUGGUUUGUUAAGCGGAAUGUGAAAGCCCCGGGCUUAACCUGGGAACUGCAUUGCGAACUGGCAAA